Molecule: ribosomal RNA, 195 nt
Filed under: Triticum aestivum (bread wheat)
Lineage: Eukaryota; Viridiplantae; Streptophyta; Magnoliopsida; Poales; Poaceae
Description: partial small subunit ribosomal RNA
Source: RNAcentral
AUGAGUUUCAUUGACCCACUCGACUCACCGCUCGCCCGCGGGCUCCAACCCGCCGCCAGUCUCCUAAACUACCGGACGGUUUACCCGGCUUCAGCGUCAAAUCUUCUGCUAACUCAUCGGGCUGGUUGCCAUGGAGAUAGCGGUGAAAUAAGUGCCUUCGCAGGAGAUAAGGACAUACUGCCGCUAAAUUGUUAA